GUGCUUGUAAUUUAGAAAAAAUAUUAAGCUGUGACCUUAAAAAUAGAACACCAAUUCUCAAGCACC
This 66-nucleotide transfer RNA is filed under the name Boa constrictor (boa). RNAcentral describes it as "tRNA-His". RNAcentral also lists the same sequence under 1 other name. Lineage: Eukaryota; Metazoa; Chordata; Lepidosauria; Squamata; Boidae. The record is from RNAcentral.